This 580-nucleotide ribosomal RNA is filed under the name Cyanosarcina sp. C100. RNAcentral's name for it is "bacterial SSU rRNA". It matches the Rfam family "Bacterial small subunit ribosomal RNA", at positions 157 to 769 of the family's 1533-position model. The record is from RNAcentral. Lineage: Bacteria; Bacillati; Cyanobacteriota; Cyanophyceae; Chroococcales; Chroococcaceae.
UGUGUGCUAAUACCGGAUGUGCCGCAAGGUGAAAGAGAAAUCGCCCGAGAAUGAGCUCGCGUCUGAUUAGCUAGUUGGUGGGGUAAGAGCCCACCAAGGCGACGAUCAGUAGCUGGUCUGAGAGGACGAUCAGCCACACUGGGACUGAGACACGGCCCAGACUCCUACGGGAGGCAGCAGUGGGGAAUUUUCCGCAAUGGGCGAAAGCCUGACGGAGCAAUACCGCGUGAGGGAGGAAGGCUCUUGGGUUGUAAACCUCUUUUCUCAGGGAAGAAACAAAUGACGGUACCUGAGGAAUCAGCAUCGGCUAACUCCGUGCCAGCAGCCGCGGUAAUACGGAGGAUGCAAGCGUUAUCCGGAAUAAUUGGGCGUAAAGCGUUCGCAGGUGGCAAUUCAAGUCUGCUGUCAAAGGUCAGGGCUCAACCCUGAACAGGCAGUGGAAACUGAUCAGCUAGAGUGCGGUAGGGGUAGAGGGAAUUCCCGGUGUAGCGGUGAAAUGCGUAGAGAUCGGGAAGAACACCAGUGGCGAAAGCGCUCUACUAGGCCUGCACUGACUCUCAGGGACGAAAGCUAGGGGAGC